This 586-nucleotide ribosomal RNA is filed under the name uncultured bacterium. RNAcentral describes it as "bacterial SSU rRNA". It matches the Rfam family "Bacterial small subunit ribosomal RNA", at positions 338 to 916 of the family's 1533-position model. The record is from RNAcentral.
CCUACGGGAGGCAGCAGUGGGGAAUAUUGCACAAUGGGGGAAACCCUGAUGCAGCCAUGCCGCGUGUGUGAAGAAGGCCUUCGGGUUGUAAAGCACUUUCAGUUGUGAGGAAAGUUUAGUAGUUAAUACCUGCUAGAUGUGACGUUAGCAACAGAAGAAGCACCGGCUAACUCCGUGCCAGCAGCCGCGGUAAUACGGAGGGUGCGAGCGUUAAUCGGAAUUACUGGGCGUAAAGCGCACGCAGGCGGUCUGUUAAGCUAGAUGUGAAAGCCCCGCGCUCAACGUGGGAGGGUCAUUUAGAACUGGCAGACUAGAGUCUUGGAGAGGGGAGUGGAAUUCCAGGUGUAGCGGUGAAAUGCGUAGAGAUCUGGAGGAACAUCAAUGGCGAAGGCAACUCCCUGGCCAAAGACUGACGCUCAUGUGCGAAAGUGUGGGUAGCGAACAGGAUUAGAUACCCUGGUAGUCCACACCGUAAACGCUGUCUACUAGCUGUUUGUGAAUUUAAUUCGUGAGUAGCGAAGCUAACGCGAUAAGUAGACCGCCUGGGGAGUACGGCCGCAAGGUUAAAACUCAAAGGAAUUGACGG